GAAGGUAUAGCUUAGUGGCAGAGUGCCUGCUUAGCACGCAUGAGGUCCCAGGUUCAAUCCCUGAUACCUCCA
Molecule: transfer RNA, 72 nt
Filed under: Camelus bactrianus (Bactrian camel)
Lineage: Eukaryota; Metazoa; Chordata; Mammalia; Artiodactyla; Camelidae
Also listed under: 2 other names
Rfam family: tRNA
About the family: Transfer RNA (tRNA) molecules are approximately 80 nucleotides in length.
Source: Rfam by way of RNAcentral